Molecule: ribosomal RNA, 558 nt
Filed under: Stenotrophomonas maltophilia
Lineage: Bacteria; Pseudomonadati; Pseudomonadota; Gammaproteobacteria; Lysobacterales; Lysobacteraceae
Description: bacterial LSU rRNA
Rfam family: Bacterial large subunit ribosomal RNA
Source: RNAcentral
UUUUGUAUAAUGGGUCAGCGACUUACUGUUCGUGGCAAGCUUAACCGUAUAGGGGAGGCGAAGGGAAACCGAGUCUGAUAAGGGCGCAUAGUCGCGGGCAGUAGACCCGAAACCGGGUGAUCUAGUCAUGCCCAGGGUGAAGGUGCGGUAACACGCACUGGAGGCCCGAACCCACUCCCGUUGCAAAGGUAGGGGAUGAGGUGUGAUUAGGAGUGAAAAGCUAAUCGAACCCGGAGAUAGCUGGUUCUCCUCGAAAGCUAUUUAGGUAGCGCCUCAUAUGUAUCCUCUCGGGGGUAGAGCACUGUUAUGGCUAGGGGGUCAUCGCGACUUACCAAACCAUUGCAAACUCCGAAUACCGAGACGGACUGUAUGGGAGACACACGGCGGGUGCUAACGUCCGUCGUGAAAAGGGAAACAACCCAGACCCACAGCUAAGGUCCCAAAUUCACUGCUAAGUGGAAAACCAUGUGGAAAGGCACAGACAGCCAGGAGGUUGGCUUAGAAGCAGCCACCCUUUAAAGAAAGCGUAAUAGCUCACUGGUCGAGUCGGUCUGCGGG